Molecule: long non-coding RNA, 364 nt
Filed under: Pan troglodytes (chimpanzee)
Lineage: Eukaryota; Metazoa; Chordata; Mammalia; Primates; Hominidae
Description: lincRNA
Source: RNAcentral
GCGGAAGGAUGAAGUUUUCCUUUCGUUACAACCUUUAUUUUCACAGUGAAGCAGUCAGGUACAGGGCGUCUGGCUCUACUGUAGUCCAGUGGUUCUACAGUCAUGCAGGAGAGGCCUGCAGCUUCAGGCAGAACAAAGCCUAACUGAGCUUCUUCCACUGGUUGGCUGACUGUGACCACUCAGGGUCAGCCAGGAUUGCUGAGAGGUGCACAAGAGGUGCACCUAGGUCUACAUCCUUCUAGAAUGGCUAUCCCAGUCCUGUCAUCUUCUGUUUCAAUGUCCCCAGGCUAUCCUGACAUUCUUUCUCCCCUCUGCCAGUCUCAGUUAAAUGGCGGGGGACCUUCUGUGUGUCUAGGAAGAGAAU